This 4213-nucleotide long non-coding RNA is filed under the name Bemisia tabaci. RNAcentral's name for it is "lncRNA ENSASIAIIG004244". The record is from RNAcentral. Lineage: Eukaryota; Metazoa; Arthropoda; Insecta; Hemiptera; Aleyrodidae.
UUUUGCCAUGCGUUUCCGAGCCUGUACUUAUUUUUUGUUCCGGAUGAUGUUUCAGGACUGUUCACGAAUACCACCACCAUCACCACCAUAACAUGGCGCAGUACGGUGGGCUAAUUCUGCCACCAACGACGCGACUGCCACCUCACGUGACGGCGCCUCACCAGUACCACACGAAGCCGGGCGUCGAAGCGUGGACCUCGAGUCAGCACCACCGACUCCAUCACGAUCAGGCCGCCUCCCACCAUAGUCUCGAAGCCGCCACACCUAGUUAUGCCUCCUACCCUUCUAUGGCAGACCAGGGAACCUCGUGGUCGAGAGACGGUGUCUACGGAGUGAUGCCAUCUAGUUUUCAAACAUUUUAGUCAGUUGAUUGAUCAGAACCAGAUUUUAGGUUGAGAAUUCCAAAUUUCGGAACCUGGUUUUGAUAAUGAACCGAAUAACGGUUGUUUACACUUAAGUGAAAAAUCAAUAGAUCGAUUGCAAAAAAAUGUUUCAAUAUCUAGUGAUUCUUUGCUUCGGUGGUAUUCAGUCGUUCUGAAUAAGUUGUUAACUAUUUCAUUCCUAAAGUAAUGAAAAGAGAAUAUUUGUAUUAAACAAUGUUAGUUUUAAAAUUUUUUUCAUUGUAUAAAUUUGUUUAAGUACUUAACAUGCUAGUCAAAAGUUGAUAAAACUUUCCUGUUGUUCUGCAAUAUUGACUGAUUUCUUUAAUGGAGCCAAAGUGAGGCGGUUUUCGAUUCUUGCGAGGAUUCAUGAACCAAGAUAAAGUAUGAUGUACUUGUAAGUCUUUGAGACAUCCGAUUAUUUUUUCCCCCCACUAAAAUUCCUUUUCAACUAAUCAAUCGUCUUUGUCUCCUCGCGUUAGUUGCUUCCUUCACGAUCAUUUGUGUGCAGUUUUAAAAUGCCAAGAAAGAACCCACGAAAAAGGAAAAAGAACUGAAGGAAAAUUUUGUAAUUUUUUUAUUUUCUUUAUUUUAUCCAAAGUCGCAAUGCAAUGUGAUGAACUUCUUUUUGUCGCAUGUUGAGCAUAUCACACAUCUCAAGUAAGCUAUCAGGAGUAAUCUUUUACUCACACUCUUUUUACAUCGUGUUUUCACGCUGAUUAAUUUUCCAUCUAAUAUCAAACCAUAAAGUAAUGUAAGGCAUAAGAGUAUAUAUUUAGUUUCCAGUGCACAAAAUAUAAAUAAAGUAUUUGUUGUUUUUUGGUGAAAACUUGACACAGUGAAUUAUUCUGAAUAGAAGGAAGAGUAAAAUUUUCUUUCCUGAUUGGCGGAUGGCUAAAAUUAUUUUGUUGUUAUUUUUUUCAUCUGUUGAUUUAUAUCGUUUCUUUGUGUUAAAACAGAAUAUUUUUGUUCCUUUUUCCAGUUUAAUAGUCGACUCCAUACUUCGUUCGUCUACGUAUUAAGAUAAAGAAAUCUGUAACCUUUACAUUUUCAAAAACGAUCAAAGUUUUCCCUAUGUGUUUCGUUCCAUUCUCCUUAAUUUGUAAAUAUGAAGCUAUUCUCCUUUUUGUCUUCAAGUUCAUCCUCCCAUCCCAUAUUUCUUUUUCAGUUUUAACCAGGCAGUGUAAAAACUUAUGGUUGUGCAUAUGUACUUAAUUAUAAUUUAAGAUGUCUUUUAUUUUAAUUUUCUCAACUUUUACCUUUUGUUUUGUUAAACGUAAACACCUAAUUUACGUAAUUGCAUCACUCUUUUUUCUCUUUUUUUAAAGACGUCUCAGCCUUUUUUUGUUGUUUCUGGAAACUGUCUAGAAUACUCUUCUUUCUAAAGUGCAAUAAUACUUACAAAACAGCGAUUUGUGACAUCUGGGGUAAUAUCAAUACCCGGUUCUCCAAAUUGUAACAGUAAGUUCAAACUCUAUACGGGAAUCUCUGAGGUGUAGCCACACUAGCCGCACUCUUCAAUUUUCCAUGGAAGUUGUCGUUUUAAGUUUUCGUAAAAAGCAAGACCGUCUGGAGAAAAAUACCUCAUGUAAACAAUAUACUCAUUCAAAACGGGGAAAUUACAAGAUGUAAGGAAGGAUCUUGAUGGAUGGAGAUUUUAUAACGGGCUUUUCUGAAAAAUGGUCCCGAGAAAAGAGCAUAUGUAAAAAAUUACGGAUUCGCUGUAUAUCAUACAUUGAAACAUCGAAAGCAUGCCAUGAUAUACUUAUCACUUCGACUUUUGAGGAAAGAGGAUUUUAGUCAUUAAUGUGUGACAAGUAGUCUCCCUCCAAAAUUGUUUUACGUGCCAAAAGAAUAAGUAAAUUAGUUCUGAAAAGAAAAAUAACGAUAACGAAUCCACUUGGCAAUUAGGUAUUCCGUAGGUUGCGAAAAAAACUCAAUGGGUAUUGUUAAAAAUCUAUGUAUCAUUUGUAGGCCGCGACAUAUUUCAUUCAAUUAGACCCAGCUACCCAUGUUUUACUCAUUCAAUCAUACUUCAAAGUUUCAAAAUAAUGUGGUUUUAAAAUAUACGAACACGUGAUUUUCAUUAAAUAUUAAUAGAUUUUUACAAUUUAAUAACGUGCAUGUUGUAUGACUAAAGUCUCGUCUCGAUAAAAUCCAUAAAAAUAUGUUUGACGACCGCGAAAACUAAUCUUCAUUUAUUCUACGGGCACGGCUCUAAGCACAUGCAUCAUGAUAUGUUGCUCGGGUUAUUCAUACUUGAAGGUGUAAUACAUGCAGUUGUGACAUUAUUCCAUGUGAAUAAUUAUCCAGACCUAUGCUUUUAUUUCUUUCUUUUAUCGUUCAUUUGAUUCUGAAUCGUCUGUUGAGCCGCGUCAAUGUCGGUAUGCCUUUUUAUUCAACCGCGCGCCGAUGCACAUUUGUGCGCGCCCAGUAAAUGUCGUCUUCGAGCAGAAACAUUAUUUUUAUAUCGAACUUCGAUCGAGAUUUAAUCGAUGAAAAAUAUCCACUCAUCCUCUCCCGUUAAGUUUAUGCAGUUCGCUAAUCGUUAACCCGGUUUGAGGUUAUCGAUUAGUCUCAACUGAGUGUCCAACAUUGUAAGCCGAAUAGUUUGCCUUCUGCGAAUCUCAAUCUACAUAUCUUUUUACCGGACGCUUACGACCGUAGUUUUUUGUCUUUCAUCGAAACUUCGAGAGAUCGCCAUUGCGUUAUUCAGUGAAACAUGUCGUUUCUGGAAUGUGAGGGUUGAAUAAAUGUCUCACUACAGACCGCACACUGUGUUGUAAAACCCUCCUCAAUUAUGCAAAAGUGCAUUUUCUUUUGUUUUCUAACUUAUGUUUUUUUUCGCUCCAUUUUUCACAGUGCAAGAAACCCCUCAUGUAGGUCCGUUCAAAUCGUUUUACUUUUUUGCCCUUUGAGCGAAUAUGACGAAAAAAGAAAGGAAUAAAAGGAGGGUGGCCUAGACCCCGCUGAUUUGUAGCGUUUGGAGAAACAUUUUCAUUGCUCUUGUAAUUAAAGUAUUACAUUUGGACGAUUACAACAACCAGCGCCCUCAGUGCGUAGCUAGGAAUAUGUAAAUGGGUGAAGAGUCUCACGUCAAAGGUUUCUGAAAAUUAAGGGUUUAAAAAUUGAAAAUAAUAUUAUAGCACCAAAUGAAAUACCUUUUUGGGGAUAUUUUGAAUUCAGUGUAUCCCCUUUGACCCCCUCUUUCUCCGCAUCUUUAUUGUUUGUAACGUCUUUAGACUGUGUCGUCUUGAACUGCCGUGGCUCCUGUCAAUUUCAACAAAAUUAACACACAUUUAAACAAUCAUGCAAAUUUAUUUGCGUAUUUUCUUUCUUGAAACCAUAUCAAACGAGAUCGCCAAAUCACUAUAGAAUUAUAUUUAAAUGAAGUAAAUUCUGUGUUUCAUGAAUUUACGGGGAAAAUCCCUCUGAUUUUUUGCUAUGCAAUCCUCCAUGAAAUCUCUUUUUGCUAUACUUUCUCUUCCUCACAUGGUUCGGCAAGUUCUGUUCAGCUCUAUUGUUUUCACUGAAACAGGAAAGCUAAAGUGUUUGCAGCCUCGUUAGAGCCGAGUUUGUACAUAACCUUCUUUUAAAUUUUAUUUCGGAGGAAUCUUUAUCUGAUGAAAUGCCUUUGAAAAACAUGUGAAACAUAUAAGUAAAUACUGAAUAGAUCAAAGUUAGAAUUUAGUAAUGUGAUAUUAUAUUAAUUAUUCAUUACGGUGCCCAUUUAAUUUUUCUUUUUGAAUUUUGAUGUUUUAUUUCUCGUCAACUUCAGUGUAUCCAAUGAUUUAAAAUCGGACUAAUGAAAUAAAGAAAAAUGCGCAACUCAG